This 158-nucleotide ribosomal RNA is filed under the name uncultured bacterium. Its description in RNAcentral is "partial 16S ribosomal RNA". It matches the Rfam family "Bacterial small subunit ribosomal RNA", at positions 355 to 509 of the family's 1533-position model. The record is from RNAcentral.
UGAGGAAUAUUGGUCAAUGGACGAGAGUCUGAACCAGCCAAGUAGCGUGAAGGAUGACUGCCCUAUUGGGUUGUAAACUUCUUUUAUAUGGGAAUAAAACGUUCCACGUGUGGGAUUUUGUAUGUACCAUAUGAAUAAGGAUCGGCUAACUCCGUGCC